Molecule: unclassified non-coding RNA, 334 nt
Filed under: soil metagenome
Description: partial contains 5.8S ribosomal RNA, internal transcribed spacer 2, and large subunit ribosomal RNA
Rfam family: 5.8S ribosomal RNA (bases 1-120)
Source: RNAcentral
GAUGAAGAACGUAGUGAAAUGCGAUACGUAAUGUGAAUUGCAGAAUUCAGUGAAUCAUCGAAUCUUUGAACGCACAUUGCGCCUGCCAGCACUCUGGCAGGCAUGCCUGUUCGAGCGUCAUUUCAACCAUCAAGCCCUAGGCUUGCGUUGGAGCCCUGCGGCUGCCGCAGGCCCCUAAAAGCAGUGGCGGGCUCGCUAUCACACCGAGUGCAGUAGAUUACUCUUCGCUCAGGGCGUGUGGCGGGUUCCAGCCGUGAGACCCCCUACUUCUCAAGGUUGACCUCGGAUCAGGUAGGAAUACCCGCUGAACUUAAGCAUAUCAAUAAGCGGAGGA